UAGAUAUCAAGAGUGGUGGUAGAGAAUUGGCUCGGCGACCCCACAGCAACCUUUCGACAAGCUCAAGGCAAGCCCGCACUGAGUUUACCGAAGUGGUGCUAACUCCAACCUUUAAAAAAGGAAAGAUAAUUA
RNAcentral lists this non-coding RNA (132 nucleotides) under Candidatus Parcubacteria bacterium. RNAcentral's name for it is "Parcubacteria Nomurabacteria SAM-I sequence". It matches the Rfam family "SAM riboswitch aptamer (S box leader)". Rfam says of the family: The SAM riboswitch is found upstream of a number of genes which code for proteins involved in methionine or cysteine biosynthesis in Gram-positive bacteria. The record is from RNAcentral. Lineage: Bacteria; Candidatus Parcubacteria.